Long non-coding RNA from Acanthopagrus latus (yellowfin seabream), 8412 nucleotides. RefSeq lists it as uncharacterized. Lineage: Eukaryota; Metazoa; Chordata; Actinopteri; Spariformes; Sparidae. The transcript is spliced from 2 exons. The record is from RefSeq and is a predicted model, not a curated record.
GUUGUUACAGACACGUUAGCUCUGAGUUUCAGAGUUGUUAGGGCCACUCGUGGGUCACUGACCCAACCGGCCUUCAUGUGGGUUGCUAAGGCUAGGUGAGCCAAGGUGUAAAUGGUUGUUAAGUUGUCUGGGCAGGGAACUCAGUACUGCAUUGUACGUGGGUGUGGUCGUUCCAGUCCUCCCCUCCUCUUUCAAACCAUCUGUCUUCUCUGGCCAACAUGUUUACAUUGUUGUCCUCAAAAGAAUGAUUUUUCUCCUUUAGAUGUAAGUGUACAGAAGAGUCCUGACCAGAGGAGUUGGCCCUCCUGUGGUGUGCCAUUCAUUUAUGGAGAGGUUGAUUUGCCUCACCAAUAUACAAAUCGGUACAGUCCUGGCUGCAUUAAUAGUCUCAAAGAGGAGGAAAAGGAUCCAUCCAUCCUGUGUACAGAGGAGGUGGACUAUGACAUUACUAACCCACGUGAAGUCCAGUUGGGUCCACAGUCCUAACAACUCUGAAACUCAGAGCACACCCGUGUCCUUAACGACUCUGUAAGGACACUCCCACACAGAGUUUAAAAGCCUGCAACUCCCCUCCCUCUAGUUUCAACUGAAGAAGCGUCUUGGAUGAGAGACUAAACAUCUUCAAGUAACUGAAACAACUCCAGUUGCCUAGGAUACUGCACUUGCAGUUACCAUGACCUGGAUGACGGAGAACCUUCAUCAACAAUCAAAGGAGUGUAAUGCAGGCUUUACCCACAUGGUGGUGCAAGUGUAUCAUUCAGUCCCUCUCACUGACAACUGGAUCUAAAAGCACUGAGGUUUACACUUUCACCAGCUAGUAUUGUCAGUGGGUUGAGACAUUAUUCCCAAAUAAAGGGGACUGGUUCAUGGGCCACAUAUCAUAUUAGUAAAUAUGUACCCUCUGUGUAACUCUUAUCCAAAGGUUGACACUGUAAAGGACUGAUAACGUGGAUUUCUUCACAGUUAUAUCCUCACAUAAAAAAAUCUGCACGGACUGGAACCUCAGCUCACCGUGUUUAUACAACUAACACGGGAGCUUUGGAGGAGGUUUACAGAUCGGAGCCAGGGGGGACUCAUGCUGGGCUAGCUAGUUAGCAUGCUAACAUAAUGGAAUUAUUUGAUAUCACAUCAAACUUCACAUUCUGUCGAUAAUUCUAGUGAAUAUGUUGAAUAUUUUAAAGUGAAAUUCCGACAUAUUGCACUUUAAGGCAUAUUUUCCUGAUUAUUCUAACUAACUUUUACCCAAGUUACAAUUUUGAUGCAAGACUUUUUCUUGUAAGUAUUUUUUGCUGUGUUAGUAAUAUUUCUAUUUUCUGACAUGACUGCUUGAAAAAGAAAAAAAACAUUUCAGGUGCCUCAGUAGAUACGCCAUAUACCACUAUAAGACAUCCCCAUGUCUCUCGAGCUGCUGUAGAAUCAGGGUUUCUGGCACAACUGCACUUACUUCCAAGGUGUAUGGAGAAGGUAAGAAAGUCUAAGGAGGUGAAAACUCCCGCAACACUUGUGGAAACUAGAGCAAUUUCAGCAUUAGGUCAACAAAGUUGUUCUAUGUACUGCAGUUUUGAUCGCUCCAGCUGCCACCUCAUGUAUGAUUCCCUCAUUCUACUGGAAAUCUUACUGUCCAAACCAUGUGCUUAAUGGCUAUGCCUACAAGAGGGCGCUCUUUACCUAUUUAAAAAAAACUGCAUGACCGGACUACAGUUAUUAAGGCUCAUGAAUUUAGAGUUCAGACCUACUUAGUGCUACAUGUGGGACUUGAUUAGUCAUUCAGAGUCUUCAAAGUUGCCUGGUGAGACAUUUCACUUUGAGGGUAUGGUAACAGAUCCUUAAUCAAACUAAGAGCUCAUGACUGUUUCUUAUUCUUGCCGUAUGUUACCACCAAGUCUUGUUUCAAGGUAAGUAAUCACUAGAAAACUGACAGCACUGAUCACUUAUUCAAACGCCUAAAAUGAUAAACUAAUGUUAAUAUCCUUUUAAAAAGCGUCCUCCUGUGACCUUGUAAAAUGUGACUCCUGUGUGUCACGAGCACCCGCUAAAGUAGAUCAACUUGCAGUGGCCAACAAUGGUUCCUUUUAAUCCCGACCAUAAUCUUUCCCUGAACUUAACCUACACUCUUAACCUAAAUGAUGGCCAUGACGAAUCUUAUUUGGAAGGCAGUGAAAAACAACCUAAUCUGUCAUUUAGUGUGAGGAACUUGGUGCACACAGAAAUCCUGUAUUCUGGAUGUGUAAUAUCAUUCAUUACAGAAACAGGAUCAAAUAUAUUCAAAUGGGGAAAUGCCGUCCGUUACUCUUUCAAGUACAGCCCUGUUUUGGCUUCGAGUCCUGCCCUUAAAUAAACCUUUCGUGAUUCAGGCGUGUGAACACAUGGCCUGCAAUUGGUGGCUGUUUUCUGUCUCCUGCCAUCGGUGAUGGCCUGCUGAUAGGCUUCCUCAAUCCAUUAGUCACCGCUUUCAGCUGAUCAACGCUGCAAAGAUAAGCCGGACGGAGGAGAGAAAGUUGCCAAGAGAGUGUGAGAGAGGGGGGGAGGAAUGGCGGGAGAGAGAGAGAGAGAGAGAGAGAGAGAGGAGCAAAGAGAGAAAGAAUGAUAUAUCGGAGCCUCAUUAUUAUUAUUUUUUUUUUCUGUGAGAGGCAGAGAGUGACAGGCUGCAGCUCCUCUGCCAGCUGAGCAAAGAACAGAGGAUUUUUGGGAGACUUGCAACAGCAAUAUAAAUCUCAGGGACAUGUGGGAAAAGUAUCAAUUGAGGAGCGCUGUAAAAAUGAUGACUGACUUUCUGUAAAAUGUUCAUGUUUCCAUUCCCGGCGAGGCAUAAUGUGAACAGCACCACGGGCUUACUUUAACACACUCACCCACAGUCUGUGCAGCCUCCCCCAUUUCCCUCCCCCUGCCCCAUAUUUUUGGAGCCCGACUGUGCGUCUGUGGCGCCACACUCGCAACUGACAGCUUAAUACCGCUGCAGAAAUUGGUUUCAUGAAGUGGGCAAGAAGAAAAAAAAAAAGGAAGAAGAAAAAAAAAAUGAGAUGAGAUUUUAAAAGGCUUCUUUUCUGGUGUGGGCUUUGCUGCGCUGUCUUCCUCAUCAUCUGUCAUAUUUGCCCGUCUAAUGAUGUUUAAUAACAGAGUGAGGCACGGCGCUCAGCGCAAAACACACUGCCAGCCAUUGUGCCUCUGUCUUCCCGGAUGAUGACUUGAGGUAAAUGUUAUGACGCAGAGGAGUAUUUCCAUUCAGGGGCGAUGUUCUCUCCAGCCAAGUUAACUGUCUGUCAGACAAAUCCCCGUCAGGACUUGGCUUGCCAUCGGUGAAAGUAUAGUUUUUAUAGGUUGCACUUAUACUUCUUUGUGUGAAACUCUGUGCUGCCAUGAAACACGCUGUGCUAAUGUAAAAACCUGCAAGACUGGUUGAACCAAAAAUCGCACAGAGUUGUGAUUCUUGCUUUCUUGGUGAGUUAAAGGGGCUAUUUUGUAAGAAGUGUUGUUGAAUACAAACCAAAAAAUGAGCUAAAAUCAUCAAAUGAAUUUGAACAAACAACUGUUUUGAUCUUAUGAUGUCGGUGUAUUGUUGCAUAUUCACUGAGGUUAGCAUGCUAAGCAGCUAGCCCCGAACUGUCACAUUCCAAAGUUCCUGUGCUAGCUAACAUCAACAACUCCCCCGAUGCCCUUAGCUUCCGAUCUCAAUCAGUAGCUGCACGGCCAACUGAGCAAACCGCAGUUACAGUAGUUAGCUGUUGCUGUGGGGAGUAUGAACCUCAGUCGAAGCUCCCGCUCCUCAGACAGGCAUGGCUGUUUUUACCAUACAUGUGUUCACGAGCGUGUCUAUUCAUGUGUGAUUUAGAGUGUGAUCUCCAUCUACAGUAAGCUGGCCUGCAUGCAUGAUGGAUGAAUGUGCGUCUGAGGGGGGGAGCGCAUGUGAAUUCAUGCCCCUCAACACUCUCACAGUUGGCUCUUUCAUUGUACACAGAUUGCGUCACAGAGCUCGCACAAACCCUUCACUUUUCUCUCCACAAUAUAGCCAGGAGCCAGAGCCUAGUUACAGCUCAAGCCUUUUAAUUAAAGCGAGUCACUCGGUGCCGUCCUGGAUGAGGCCUGUGGGUGCAUUAAUCAUAUUACCUAAAAAACUGAUCCGAGACCAGACCUAUCUUGUAAAUACAACGCAGCCUCACACAAGUCAGGAAGUGUGCAGACAGGUAGAGCUUCCACAUCGUAUUGUCUUUGGCAGCGGGGCAGCUCCACACACAGAACCCUCUUUGUCUGGUGGCUGAGUGGAAAGCGGUGUUUGCUCAGAAGCAGUAAUGAUGUAGUAUCUGUGUUUUCCAUCAAUUCGAAUUGAUGUCGUAGGGAAGCCCACUGCUGAUUGUGAUCUUUAUCAUUUAAACUAAAUGUUAUACUCCUGGCGCCCAUGUUGAGGCACUUACAAAAGCUCAGCUUUAUGUUCCACGGAGUCAUAAUUGUUGUUGUGUACGUUGCACGCUGUAGGAAAUGUCUCAAGGCAACAUGUUUUGACAGCAAAGGCUCUUGUGGCUGUCAGCGUCUCGGUGUUCCUGCUGUCACAUGGCGCUGUACUGUAUCAGCAUGGUAGCUUUGGAAACAUGCAAGGCUUGUAGAAAAUAAGUCAGUUGUAAAAAAUGGAAUAUAGUCUCCUGUAAGACCUUUUUUUUCAUGAAAAACUUAAAUGGGCGAUUUAGAUUAGCAAAAGCAUAUUUGUUUUUACACAGCUACUUAAUAGUGAAAAGUGAAAGAUAUGGCUGGUCAAAGAUCACUACAAACAAAUAGGGGGCAGGAUAUCACCAGAGUAACCUCUAGCUGCUGCUCUCUGUUCAAGAGUUUCCUGGGAAAGUCAGUAAUAGUAUCAUAGUAACUGAAGCACUGACAACGUUAGCUAACUGGGCUAAGCAAUAGUACGUGUUUGAACUGUUAACUCAGUCGCUAACUUAGAUCUUCAUCAAUGAAUGAUACGCAGUGCCAGUUACUCUAACAGUGAGGCUUAGCGUCCUGUUACCAUGGAAAAUGCAGGUUAAAAGGUUAAUUGGCUGGACGUGGAAGUCGGGCCACUGAUUUGCAUGUGAGCAUCAUGGGGUGGAUACUCUUUGCUAAAGCUAUCUUUUGCUGUAGAUAGCUGCUGUUAGCUUGUUAGCAAAGUUAUUUCAGUUAGCCAUGUUGUCAGUGGCUGACUCGCUCCAAACAACGGAGGAGGGCUGGUGUUCACACUGCAGGCAAUGGAACCUGGGCUCAUUAUCACAGCCAACAAUGCUGCCAGAUGGCCGGCUUCAGUCCGAGUCACACUACUGGAUAUUUUUAAGGAGAAUUCCUCGUUUUUGUGCUGGCCUGUUCUUUUUUGCAGGGAUUCAGGCCAUCUUCAUCCAUGAGAUAGUGAAACUGUUAUUUUCUCCUAACGCUAACCACGUGGUUUUUGAGUGUAAACUUAACCACAAACAUGUAAUUGUAACAAGAGAAAUAGUUUUGACCUAAACAAAUAUAAAGUUGCAACAUAAAGAAACUUUGUGUUUUAACUUUGUUGUGGUUUUGCAGAAACAUGCUUAGCCAGCAUUCAUUCUGGUGAUUCAGUGGCAUCUUCAGUGUGGAUUGGCAAUCGAAAUAGUGUUACAUCCAACUCUGUGGAUACAUUUUAUCGACCAAAGACUGAACAAGAUAGCUUUUGGUGGGUUUUAUGUUGUGUCUGAGGAGUUCAGUAAAAGACAGAAAAUGGAAAUUAGAAGGUUUAUAGUGGUAUGUUUCUGUUUCCUUACUUUGUGGGAUCGUGUGAGUUAAUUUAGUUCCGACUUAAAAAGCUAACAGAGCCCAUGAAACAUAGCUAUUUCAAUCCUCGUAUACAUCUUCCAGCUGAAACUACAGCACAUUCGGUGUUUUUUCAAGAUAUCUGGGCCAAGGAUAGCUGUUGAGCAUGCUCACUUCAGCAGACAUACAGGUUGCAUACAACUGAGUUAUGAAAUGGUAAUUUAGAAUUUAAAUUGCUCAACCCAUCAGCACACACCACUGAUUGUUAUGUGUGAGAACAAUAUAUUAAGAAGUGGACUUACAAUAUGUGGCAAUAAUAUUUCAGUCUAUCGAGAUGAAUUCUCAAUGCCAGUGGGUCACUUAUGGCAAUGACCCUGUUCAACACAACCUUGCCUAUUGAUGGACAUUACUUGAAAAAGAAAAAUCUCCUGCAUUUACUACAUUUGCUACUGAAAAGAAACCAUCAUGAACUGCCUCCCCUGUGCGGGUAAAGACAGUCCAAUAAAUGUUUUGCUGCAGUUACAUUUUAGUAAUUACCUCUAAUUGCCCUCCAUCACUGUUAGUUGUUGUGAUUGCUUUAAAGGCCCCCCUUUGUUGAGAUGAAGAGAUAAAGACAAACAUAGGUUUGACACAUCUAUGUAGAAUAAUACAACCCUGAGCUCCUUUUUGCCUUGACAUCAAACAGACUAAUGAAGGUGUUAAAAUGCGCUGAGAUACUGAAGCAGAAAGCAAUGACUGUACGCAGAUAAACUGACAGUAAGGAAAAUAUUCCUUUUCCUCCCACAAAUCUGCUCUCAGUUUUGAUAUAAUGAAAUCAACCGUCAGCUGCAGGGUGCCUGAGCUCCGCAGGUGGUAGUAUAUUCUGAUCCUGUAUCGAGCUGUUAACGCCUUCAAAUUAUUUAUAUUUCCUUUCCUCUUUUCAGUCAGUGUAAUUUUAUCUUACAGUCCUUCUUGCCAAUAAGAUCUGACAAACGGCAGAAUAAGACAAUGAAACUCUGACAGGGUCUUGUAUCAAUUCAUUUUUAAAAUCAGGUUUGAAAUGGAAAUGAGGCCUUGUCAGACUGGCUUCUUCAUUUACGGGCCGCCCCUAUCAGAGAUACUGUACACAAAGGCCUCACGCUGAUUAAAUAUGUAGGGUUAUUACCAUCCCUUUGCAAAUGAAUUAAAUGGUUACACAAUCUGAGAACAAAACAGCUAAAUCCACUUGGAUUUUAUCUCAAAUUGAAUUCAAUAAUAUCUUCUACUUUGUUCUAACACAGUUUCAUUUUAUUUCUCACAAACCCAACGUCAAUAUCAACUUAAAACUCUUGUUGAAUUUAGACAGUUGAGGUGAUUUGAAGUUCGCUGAGCAAACGAGGGACCUGUCCAAAGAAAACUGAGGAAAAGACUGGACACAGCUGACCUUGAUGAUAACCCUGAGUUUUCAAAGUCUAGCUUAACAGUAUUUGACUGAUAUUUGAGGACGUGCAUUGUCAAUGUUUGUGGCUCACACCAUAUUAUAGUUUACGGAUUUUGUUACAAGAUGUGUUUUUUUUUCCCCUUUUUAAAAAACUACAAUGCUGGUUCUACGUUGGUAAUUAUUUUACAUCCUUUUAUGAUAUCUAACAUUUAGGAGGACCCAUUGAGUGAUCAAGUUUCUAUGUCACUCAGAACUUAGUAAAACCAAGUUGGCCUAUCUUGCUAGCUUCUAAGAAAAAUGAAUGCUAGUAAAGAUCUAGCAAGCUGAUAUGAGCAUGAACCUGCUAGACAUUACUUUUUGAAAUUUCACUGUUGUGUUCAUCCUAAAUUAUAGAAAGGAAGGAGGCUGGCCUGUGUUAUUUGCCUCACUUCCAUGUGUCUAAAUGAUGAUUCCCAGGUUGUAGUAUCAGGGUUUGGUCAGACUACCUUGGCAGGGACAACCGUCAUCGUCAGAAAAAUGGUCAGAUAGGUUCAAAUAAAAGCAAUUAUUAUGACCCAUAAUUACAUCUGUUGUAAGGUAGCAGCCUCUAGAAGCUGUGGUAAUUAUGACGGCUACAGAGGAGGACAGAUGGAGGAGUAUAAGAGUUAUAAGUCCGUGUAGGGCAGCAGUCAGGGAUGGACAGUCAGGUAAAACAAGCACAAUGCUGUAAGCGUCCAGUACGGUGAGUUUGUUGAACUAACUAACAUAGUGAAGUUACGUCAUGUACAUACUAUGUAGUGAGUUACAGAAGUAACAUGCUGAUUUUAACCCAAACCACAACGUUACCCUUUCUUGUCUAAACCCUGACCUAACUGAGACUGUACCACAAGCAUUUGGUACGUUUGACGUGUUUUUUUUUUGUUGUUGUUUUUUUGCAGCGGUUAAUUUGGAAACAGUCAUAUCUGUUGUUUUGGGAGACGCUGACGAUCAACCUAUUCAGACAUUUACCAGUGAGGAAGGAUUAUGGAGUGGCCGGAUACCGACAGCAGUCUCCUGGGUGACUGUGCUUUACCCAUCCAUCCUCCCUGCUCCUUAUUAUACAUCACCUGCUUUGCUCUGAGCAUCUCAAUGCGUCGCACACAGAUGCUCAAGGUUUCCUUGUGUGUCUGAAUCAAAGCACAUAUUCUCUGUGCUGCUCCAGAGUCAUUUAUUCAAUUACAAGUUUCAAUUCAAGCCAGGCUGUAACAUGGCAGUCGGACUGCACUGAGUCUGAUUUCAGUUUGAAUAAAUCCUUUUUCACCUUG